AUCGCUUCUCGGCCUUUUGGCUAAGAUCAAGUGUAGUAUCUGUUCUUAUCAGUUUAACUCCAAAGCCUGUAGACCUAAUCACUGUACUGUACUGCCUCCCUCUGAACUUCCUUUUCAAGAAAUAACUAAACUGAGGGCACCUUGAUGGUACAGUCAGUUAAGCAUCUGACUGGGUUUUGGCUCAGGUCAUGAUCUCUA
Small nuclear RNA from Neogale vison (American mink), 198 nucleotides. RefSeq annotates it as U2 spliceosomal RNA. The transcript has a single exon. The record is from RefSeq and is a predicted model, not a curated record. NCBI's taxonomy places the organism in Eukaryota, Metazoa, Chordata, Mammalia, Carnivora, Mustelidae.